Molecule: long non-coding RNA, 383 nt
Organism: Juglans microcarpa x Juglans regia
Lineage: Eukaryota; Viridiplantae; Streptophyta; Magnoliopsida; Fagales; Juglandaceae
Exons: 3
Source: RefSeq, a predicted model, not a curated record
AAGAAAAAUUUCAGUCUUGGUUGCCGAGAGCUUCUCCAGUUGUCCGUGGUUUUGGUGGAUUUUCUUUCCCGUGCGUCUUCGUGUUUGUUGUAGUGCAGUGAGUACAUCGUUCUACUCGGUUUCUCAUAAACGUUAAGCCUUCAACCGGAAUUAUUUUUUUUCAUCUCUAGAUAGUGUUGCAUCACUCCCUUAUUUCAUCGAUCACCACAUGACGCUAGGUAAGAGAUAUUGUUGUAAACUUUCUUUGGCACCAGUUUACGUGUGUUAGAAGAAUAAAAUUUGAUUUGUUGGAUUGGUGUUUUAGAAAUAUAUAGAAGUGAGUCUUGUUGGGUGCCGAUUAACAUUUAGAAGUGUUGGAUUCUAUUUUGUGGAGUUGUGAACGG